RNAcentral lists this ribosomal RNA (510 nucleotides) under uncultured bacterium. RNAcentral describes it as "bacterial SSU rRNA". It matches the Rfam family "Bacterial small subunit ribosomal RNA", at positions 28 to 523 of the family's 1533-position model. The record is from RNAcentral.
GACGAACGCUGGCGGCGUGCCUAAUACAUGCAAGUCGAGCGGACCAAAGGGAGCUUGCUCCUGGAGGUUAGCGGCGAACGGGUGAGUAACACGUGGGCAACCUGCCUGUAAGACUGGGAUAACAUCGAGAAAUCGGUGCUAAUACCGGAUAAUAAAAAGAACUGCAUGGUUCUUUUUGAAAGAUGGUUUCGGCUAUCACUUACAGAUGGGCCGCGGCGCAUUAGCUAGUUGGUGAGGUAACGGCUCACCAAGGCGACGAUGCGUAGCCGACCUGAGAGGGUGAUCGGCCACACUGGGACUGAGACACGGCCCAGACUCCUACGGGAGGCAGCAGUAGGGAAUCUUCCGCAAUGGACGAAAGUCUGACGGAGCAACGCCGCGUGAGUGAUGAAGGUUUUCGGAUCGUAAAACUCUGUUGUUAGGGAAGAACAAGUGCCGUUCGAAAGGGCGGCACCUUGACGGUACCUAACGAGAAAGCCACGGCUAACUACGUGCCAGCAGCCGCGGUAA